This 1068-nucleotide ribosomal RNA is filed under the name uncultured bacterium. RNAcentral's name for it is "bacterial SSU rRNA". It matches the Rfam family "Bacterial small subunit ribosomal RNA", at positions 338 to 1398 of the family's 1533-position model. The record is from RNAcentral.
CCUACGGGGGGCAGCAGUGGGGAAUAUUGCACAAUGGGCGCAAGCCUGAUGCAGCCAUGCCGCGUGUGUGAAGAAGGCCUUCGGGUUGUAAAGCACUUUCAGUAAGGAGGAAAGGGAUGUAGUUAAUAACUGCAUUCUGCGACGUUACUUACAGAAGAAGCACCGGCUAACUUCGUGCCAGCAGCCGCGGUAAUACGAGGGGUGCAAGCGUUAAUCGGAAUUACUGGGCGUAAAGCGUUCGUAGGCGGUUGAUUAAGCAAGAUGUGAAAGCCCAGGGCUCAACCUUGGAACUGCAUUUUGAACUGGUCAACUAGAGUACUGUAGAGGGUGGUGGAAUUUCAGGUGUAGCGGUGAAAUGCGUAGAGAUCUGAAGGAAUACCAGUGGCGAAGGCGGCCCCCUGGACAAUGACUGACGCUGAGGUUCGAAAGCGUGGGUAGCGAACAGGAUUAGAUACCCUGGUAGUCCACGCCGCAAACGAUGUCUACUAGCUGUUUGUGUCUUUAAGACGUGAGUGGCGCAGCUAACGCACUAAGUAGACCGCCUGGGGAGUACGGUCGCAAGAUUAAAACUCAAAUGAAUUGACGGGGGCCCGCACAAGCGGUGGAGCAUGUGGUUUAAUUCGACGCAACGUGAUGAACCUUACCAUCCCUUGACAUCCACAGAAGCUGAAAGAGAUUUUAGUGUGCCUUCGGGAACUGUGAGACAGGUGCUGCAUGGCUGUCGUCAGCUCGUGUUGUGAAAUGUUGGGUUAAGUCCCGCAACGAGCGCAACCCCUAUCCUUAGUUGCUAGCAGGUCAUGCUGAGAACUCUAAGGAGACUGCCGGUGACAAACCGGAGGAAGGUGGGGACGACGUCAAGUCAUCAUGGCCCUUACGGGAUGGGCUACACACGUGCUACAAUGGCAAGUACAGAGGGAAGCGAACUGGCAACAGUGAGCGGAUCCCUUAAAGCUUGUCGUAGUCCGGAUUGGGGUCUGCAACUCGACCCCAUGAAGUCGGAAUCGCUAGUAAUCGCAGAUCAGAAUGCUGCGGUGAAUACGUUCCCGGGCCUUGUACACACCGCCCGUC